GCUUAACUAAAGCAUUGGUCUUGUAAACCAAAGACUGAAAACCACAACUUUCCUAGAAUA
Molecule: transfer RNA, 60 nt
Filed under: Chelonoidis duncanensis (Duncan Island giant tortoise)
Lineage: Eukaryota; Metazoa; Chordata; Testudines; Testudinidae
Description: partial tRNA-Thr
Source: RNAcentral